UUACAAUCGGAGUACCAUCAGAGGAGGAUGGAUUACGUGAAAUCAACGCUGGAUUCUUGGAUGAAGGGGCCAUUGAGGGCCAGACCCCAUCUCCGCAGUAAAUUUGCUGCAUCCCUCUGGCCCCUCACUGCCUUCUUUAUGCCCAGUGAAGGCUCCUUAUAUGCCACAAAGGCAUAUCAAGCCUCAUUCAGCAGGAUGAGUGCUCCCUCCUGGGCCUCUUUAAGAAAUGACCUUCCUUUUCCU
Mauremys reevesii (Reeves's turtle) is the source of this 243-nucleotide long non-coding RNA. RefSeq lists it as uncharacterized. The transcript has 3 exons. NCBI's taxonomy places the organism in Eukaryota, Metazoa, Chordata, Testudines, Geoemydidae. The record is from RefSeq and is a predicted model, not a curated record.